UUCCAUUUUCUUUACAUGUGGACACAUUCUUUGAAGAACAAGAAAACCAAAAAUCACUGUUUUCCACUUAUGAGAAUAUCACUGCUUAAAAACUCUCAUGCAUUAACUGCAGUCAGUAACCACGAUCCAAACUGUAAAGAUGGAAGGUUUGACACCGAUAGCUCGGGAGGGAAUAACUACUUAGGAUUUGGAAAUCAGCAACACAGUACCUAAGAUUUUAUAUGCAGUGUUCCAACAUUAGGGAAAUGGGAUGAUAAGCAUCUCUGUAAAACAGCGUACAAACCAGGCAGCUCUAUAAGAACCGCAGCAGGGUUAGGUGUCCAGGAAGUACCUGCAAAGAUUCCCAAACAGACAUCCAGACUGUUCUACACAGCUUCCUUCAUGCUAGGAACCUGUUUUAAGAUGGCCUCUUCCACAGUUCUUGGUAAAGGUCUACCGGAACCCACUGGACCAAAAGAUAAUGGCACACAUGACAAUAGUGGAGCAAUUCUGGAAGGACACACCAAAAUUCUGUCUUGUCAUCAUAGAAUCAUAGAGUAUCCCCAGCUUGAAAGGAUCCAACAAUCCAACAAAGGUCAUCGAGUCCAUCUCCCUUGAAGCCCCGGACAUUUCAAAGAGAGAUCAAUUGCAGUCCCUUGAAAUCUUGAUGCCCCGG
RNAcentral lists this long non-coding RNA (655 nucleotides) under Gallus gallus (chicken). Its description in RNAcentral is "long non-coding RNA NONGGAT008474". Lineage: Eukaryota; Metazoa; Chordata; Aves; Galliformes; Phasianidae. The record is from RNAcentral.